UACGUAGGGUGCGAGCGUUAAUCGGAAUUACUGGGCGUAAAGCGCUCGUAGGCGGUUUGUCGCGUCUGCUGUGAAAUCCCCGGGCUCAACCUGGGAACUGCAUUUGUGACUGCAAGGCUAGAGUACGGCAGAGGGGGAUGGAAUUCCGCGUGUAGCAGUGAAAUGCGUAGAUAUGCGGAGGAACACCAAUGGCGAAGGCAAUCCCCUGGGCCUGUACUGACGCUCAUGCACGAAAGCGUGGGGAGCAAACAGG
This 253-nucleotide ribosomal RNA is filed under the name uncultured bacterium. RNAcentral's name for it is "partial 16S ribosomal RNA". It matches the Rfam family "Bacterial small subunit ribosomal RNA", at positions 524 to 776 of the family's 1533-position model. The record is from RNAcentral.